This 433-nucleotide ribosomal RNA is filed under the name uncultured bacterium. RNAcentral's name for it is "partial 16S ribosomal RNA". It matches the Rfam family "Bacterial small subunit ribosomal RNA", at positions 29 to 507 of the family's 1533-position model. The record is from RNAcentral.
AGCGAACGCUGGCGGCAGGCCUAACACAUGCAAGUCGAACGAACUCUUCGGAGUUAGUGGCGGACGGGUGAGUAACACGUGGGAACGUGCCUUUUGGUUCGGAAUAACUCAGGGAAACUUGUGCUAAUACCGAAUGUGCCCUUCGGGGGAAAGAUUUAUCGCCAUUAGAGCGGCCCGCGUCUGAUUAGCUAGUUGGUGAGGUAACGGCUCACCAAGGCGACGAUCAGUAGCUGGUCUGAGAGGAUGACCAGCCACACUGGGACUGAGACACGGCCCAGACUCCUACGGGAGGCAGCAGUGGGGAAUCUUGCGCAAUGGGCGAAAGCCUGACGCAGCCAUGCCGCGUGAAUGAUGAAGGUCUUAGGAUUGUAAAAUUCUUUCACCGGGGACGAUAAUGACGGUACCCGGAGAAGAAGCCCCGGCUAAGUUCGUG